RNAcentral lists this transfer RNA (73 nucleotides) under Candidatus Pacearchaeota archaeon. RNAcentral describes it as "tRNA-Thr". It matches the Rfam family "tRNA". Rfam says of the family: Transfer RNA (tRNA) molecules are approximately 80 nucleotides in length. Their secondary structure includes four short double-helical elements and three loops (D, anti-codon, and T loops). Further hydrogen bonds mediate the characteristic L-shaped molecular structure. tRNAs have two regions of fundamental functional importance: the anti-codon, which is responsible for specific mRNA codon recognition, and the 3' end, to which the tRNAs corresponding amino acid is attached (by aminoacyl-tRNA synthetases). tRNAs cope with the degeneracy of the genetic code in two manners: having more than one tRNA (with a specific anti-codon) for a particular amino acid; and 'wobble' base-pairing, i.e. permitting non-standard base-pairing at the 3rd anti-codon position. The record is from RNAcentral. Lineage: Archaea; Nanobdellati.
GCCUCCAUAGCUCAGCGGUUAGAGCAUCUGUUUUGUAAACAGAGGGUCGCAGGUUCAAAUCCUGCUGGGGGCU